ACUUCCUUUGUCAAUUGUCCACUUUGGACCAGAAAUGUAGUUAGAGUCUUACCUGGUUCAGCAAGUGAAUCCAAAUUCUCUUGACCAAGGAGAGUUUCUAGUGUUGUGACUUGAGGCUUUGCCUGUAGCCUUGUCCUGUUAAACAUGUUUAUCAUUGACCUAGAUAAGGCCACUGCUGCCAAGCUUAUCAAAUUUAAUACUGAGGCAGAAGAAAAACAGCAACUGACACUUUGUUCUACAGGACAGAAUCAAGAUCCUGCAAAAUGUUUGCCUUGAUUUAAAAGUUCAGCUGCACAAAUGGAGGAGAGGAAACAUAACCAGGAUUAACAGCGAUACAUACCCAAGAGCCGUAAGGAUUUUAGUGGACUACAAGUGCUCACUUCCCCACAACUUAAGACAACCGUACGCUAAAUUAUUAAAGGCAGCUGAUGACCAGGGCUGAGAACUUGCCCCAGACCACGAGCCUCUCUGUUGAUAAAGCAAGCAGACUUACAGUUUUUCGGCAUCUCAGGGAGCCUGCAGCAGUGAUCCAGUUCUUUCAAAGGGUCUGUGGAUUCUCAGCUUUCCAGACUAGGCUCUGGUGAUAGGUCACCUUCCAUCGGGAAAAGAAAGCAACGCAAGUAAAGAAACAACAUCAUUUUGUGAUGAUGCAAUGAAGGAAAUAAACAAGAAGAUAUGAUAAAUAGUACCUGGAGCGCCUACUUCACAAGAAAGCCUGAGAGAGUCCAGUUGUACUCAAGGAGAGGGAGAAGUAGCCAGGAGACAGAUCCGGUAGGACUGUGAAAGCCAUGGUAAGAAGCUGGGAACGUAUCCCAAGUACGUUGGAAAGCUGCUGGAAACUUUUAAGCAGGGAAGUUAUACAAUCUGAUUUACAUUUUGAAAAUGGCUCGCUGUUUGAGUAACAAAUUCUAAGUGGGCAGAUGCAGAGGCAGGAAGACCAGUUAGGAAGUGACUGAAAUGGUCCAUGUGAGAGAAGUUAGUUGGUGGCUUAG
This is a long non-coding RNA of Homo sapiens (human), 992 nucleotides long. RefSeq lists it as uncharacterized. The record is from RefSeq and is a predicted model, not a curated record. The transcript is spliced from 3 exons. NCBI's taxonomy places the organism in Eukaryota, Metazoa, Chordata, Mammalia, Primates, Hominidae.